This 1522-nucleotide long non-coding RNA is filed under the name Gallus gallus (chicken). Its description in RNAcentral is "lncRNA (ENSGALG00010004207.1)". Lineage: Eukaryota; Metazoa; Chordata; Aves; Galliformes; Phasianidae. The record is from RNAcentral.
AUACUAGAAGAGUGCCUCCUGCAUUUUAGCUUCAUCACAAAAGAACACGCUCCAAAACCAUUAUGAAAUGUGAGCUGAAGUGUGGUAAAUGGCACACAGAGGAGAUUUGCUCCAGAAGUACACUGGUGAUCUGAAUUAAAAUACUCAUGUAAACUCACCCAGAGUUUCAAUUCCUUUGAAAAUCUCAGCAUCUUGAAAAAAAAAAUGUUACUGCAGAGUCAGAAUGAAGAGCCAAAGCAUUUCCUUCCUUUUCCUUUCAAUUGCAGUUCUACAGUAUUUUAUGUCAGAAACACUGGAAACAUUUUGUUCUUUUUGUAAUGAUGAAAUGAGCUCCCUGGAAUUACAGAAGCAGAAUAUCAAGGCUUCUCAACUGACAGUGCACAGAGGAUUCCUUAGAACUCAUAAUGGGAAUGUGGUCAAGACAUCAGAUAAAUUUCAGGGAUGAGUUUCACCACACGCAGAAAGACCACAGCAAAUCCACUUGAGUCAAGAUUUUUCAAAGUCUGCUGAAAAUUCUUAAAUUAAUUAUUUACAUACUGAUAAAGUCAUCUCUUUAGAAAUAGAGAACGGAGCCCUAAGAACAGAGACAGUUGUCUUAAACAACAGGAAGUUUAAGAAGACCUUGUCUGUGCUGGGUAAACAACAAAACAUUAUCCCCUCGAGAUGUCUUUCUAACUCCUGGGUGGCUGGCUCCUCAUGGGGAGAGUGAUGGAUGCCUUGCAUAGAGUUGUGAGGAGGUGUUCCCACCUCAUUGUCUAGCACUGGAAAAGAUGUCAUGGAUAUCUUGUCUGAUCCUGGAGUUACUGCGUUUGAGGAAAUGAUAUUUAAAAAAGUCACAGCUCAGAAGAAAACAACGUGAUAGUAUAAAGUCUCAAAAAAUUUCUUCAUAAGAGGCUGAUGGUUUACCCUCUUGAUUGUUUGUUGAGGAGCUGAGGUGGUGACUAGUUCCCAUUCAACAAGCCCUAUCUACAAGGAGAAUGUACAUAUGAGACAUCUAGUAAAGCGUAAAAAAGAACCAAGGACUAAACAUUAGGAAAAUAGAUAGGUCCAAGAAAGGGAUAGCCAUGAUGAAAAAAUAAGGAGAAAGAGACAGCAAAUAUUGCAAGUCAGGAGCUUUUCCCCUAGUUCCAAAAUAGUACCUUUGAGGAACGUUGUACUCUCAGGAACAUGUCUUCUCUGUGUACUCUUCCUCCAAGUUGCUAGCAGAUUUCAGGCUUUUUGCCUGUAAAUCACUGUCUCAGAGUGAUGCCUAUCGGAGUAAUGCAGAAGAAGCAAAUGACAGGACAAAUGAAUAAGCUUUCCAUCAUUUUAAGUCAUUAAGCAUAACUAAAUGGCCCUCUAAAAAGAAGCAUUUCUCAGUUCACUGAGGAAAGCAGGAUUGGUCUUAAAAUUGUAAAAGGUAUUGGACUAAUGUUAACAAAUUUAUAUUUAUAGUGUUAUUAUACCUGACAAUGCCAACUGGGAGGAUUUGGGGCAUGACUGAUAAAUUCCCAGUUCAAACUGCAGCCAUCUAGUAGAAGUC